GAUGAAGAACGCAGCGAAAUGAGAUACGUAAUGUGAAUUGCAGAAUUCAGUGAAUCAUCGAAUCUUUGAACGCACAUUGCGCCCGCCAGCACUCUGGCGGGCAUGCCUGUUCGAGCGUCAUUUCAACCAUCAAGCCCCAGGCUUGCGUUGGAGCCCUGCGGCUGCCGCAGCCUCCUAAAAGCAGUGGCGGGCUCGCUAUCACACCGAGUGCAGUAGAUUACUCUUCGCUCAGGGCGUGCAGCGGGUUCCGGCCGUGAAACCCCCUACUUUUAAAGGUUGACCUCGGAUCAGGCAGGAAUACCCGCUGAACUUAAGCAUAUCAAUAAGCGGAGGA
Molecule: unclassified non-coding RNA, 334 nt
Filed under: soil metagenome
Description: partial contains 5.8S ribosomal RNA, internal transcribed spacer 2, and large subunit ribosomal RNA
Rfam family: 5.8S ribosomal RNA (bases 1-120)
Source: RNAcentral